Molecule: ribosomal RNA, 471 nt
Filed under: uncultured organism
Description: partial 16S ribosomal RNA
Rfam family: Bacterial small subunit ribosomal RNA
Source: RNAcentral
ACUCCUACGGGAGGCAGCAGUGGGGAAUUUUGGACAAUGGGCGAAAGCCUGAUCCAGCCAUGCCGCGUGCAGGAUGAAGGCCUUCGGGUUGUAAACUGCUUUUGUACGGAACGAAACGGCCUUUUCUAAUAAAGAGGGCUAAUGACGGUACCGUAAGAAUAAGCACCGGCUAACUACGUGCCAGCAGCCGCGGUAAUACGUAGGGUGCAAGCGUUGAUCGGAAUUACUGGGCGUAAAGCGUGCGCAGGCGGUUAUGUAAGACAGUUGUGAAAUCCCCGGGCUCAACCUGGGAACUGCAUCUGUGACUGCAUAGCUAGAGUACGGUAGAGGGGGAUGGAAUUCCGCGUGUAGCAGUGAAAUGCGUAGAUAUGCGGAGGAACACCGAUUGCGAAGGCAAUCCCCUGGACCUGUACUGACGCUCAUGCACGAAAGCGUGGGGAGCAAACAGGAUUAGAUACCCGAGUAGUCCCA